AGAGUUUGAUCAUGGCUCAGAUUGAACGCUGGCGGCAGGCUUAACACAUGCAAGUCGAGCGGAGAUGGUGUGCUUGCACACUAUUUUAGCGGCGAACGGGUGAGUAAUGCCUAGGAAUCUGCCCAUUAGCGGGGGACAACGUGUGGAAACGCACGCUAAUACCGCAUACGCCCUACGGGGGAAAGCAGGGGACUCUUUGAGCCUUGCACUAAUGGAUGAGCCUAGGUCAGAUUAGCUAGUUGGUGGGGUAAAGGCCUACCAAGGCGACGAUCUGUAGCGGGUCUGAGAGGAUGAUCCGCCACACUGGAACUGAGACACGGUCCAGACUCCUACGGGAGGCAGCAGUGGGGAAUAUUGGACAAUGGGCGCAAGCCUGAUCCAGCCAUGCCGCGUGUGUGAAGAAGGCCUUUUGGUUGUAAAGCACUUUAAGCGGGGAGGAGGCUACUGGUACUAAUAUUACCAGCUAGUGGACGUUACCCGCAGAAUAAGCACCGGCUAACUCUGUGCCAGCAGCCGCGGUAAUACAGAGGGUGCGAGCGUUAAUCGGAAUUACUGGGCGUAAAGCGCGCGUAGGCGGUUUGUUAAGUCGGAUGUGAAAUCCCCGGGCUCAACCUGGGAAUUGCAUUCGAUACUGGCAAGCUAGAGUAUGGGAGAGGAAGGUAGAAUUCCAGGUGUAGCGGUGAAAUGCGUAGAGAUCUGGAGGAAUACCGAUGGCGAAGGCAGCCUUCUGGCCUAAUACUGACGCUGAGGUGCGAAAGCAUGGGGAGCAAACAGGAUUAGAUACCCUGGUAGUCCAUGCCGUAAACGAUGUCAACUAGCCGUUGGGGGAUUUGAUCCUUUAGUGGCGCAGCUAACGCGAUAAGUUGACCGCCUGGGGAGUACGGUCGCAAGACUAAAACUCAAAUGAAUUGACGGGGGCCCGCACAAGCGGUGGA
RNAcentral lists this ribosomal RNA (935 nucleotides) under Alkanindiges illinoisensis DSM 15370. RNAcentral's name for it is "bacterial SSU rRNA". It matches the Rfam family "Bacterial small subunit ribosomal RNA", at positions 8 to 936 of the family's 1533-position model. Lineage: Bacteria; Pseudomonadati; Pseudomonadota; Gammaproteobacteria; Moraxellales; Moraxellaceae. The record is from RNAcentral.